UAGAGGAAGUAAAAGUCGUAACAAGGUCUCCGUUGGUGAACCAGCGGAGGGAUCAUUACUGAGUUACCGCUCAUCAACCCUUUGUGAACAUACCUUAACUGUUGCUUCGGCGGGUAGGCGUCCCCUAAAAAGGACGUCUCCCGGCCCUCUCCCGUCCGCGGGUGGGGCGCCCGCCGGAGGAUAACCAAACUCUGAUUAACGACGUUUCUUCUGAGUGACACAAGCAAAUAAUCAAAACUUUUAACAACGGAUCUCUUGGUUCUGGCAUCGAUGAAGAACGCAGCGAAAUGCGAUAAGUAAUGUGAAUUGCAGAAUUCAGUGAAUCAUCGAAUCUUUGAACGCACAUUGCGCCCGCCAGCAUUCUGGCGGGCAUGCCUGUUCGAGCGUCAUUUCAACCCUCAAGCUCUGCUUGGUGUUGGGGCUCUACGGUUGACGUAGGCCCUUAAAGGUAGUGGCGGACCCUCUCGGAGCCUCCUUUGCGUAGUAACAUUUCGUCUCGCAUUGGGAUUCGGAGGGACUCUAGCCGUAAAACCCCCAAUUUUACUAAGGUUGACCUCGGAUCAGGUAGGAAUACCCGCUGAACUUAAGCAUA
RNAcentral lists this ribosomal RNA (592 nucleotides) under Colletotrichum truncatum. Its description in RNAcentral is "eukaryotic LSU rRNA". The stretch from base 236 to 389 matches the Rfam family "5.8S ribosomal RNA". Lineage: Eukaryota; Fungi; Ascomycota; Sordariomycetes; Glomerellales; Glomerellaceae. The record is from RNAcentral.